GGCCCGGUGUCCGAGGAGCUGAUGGGAUGCCCACGCCCACGGGUGUGGUUGUCGACUCCACAGCUGCAUCCCAUUCCAGGCGAUCAUCGGGUGGACUAUUUAACCCCGCUCAGCCAGCUGCUCCACGCCAGUCCGUUAGUCACCUUUCAGCGGUAACCGUUCGGCGUGUCUUGAGCCUUCACCUGCCUGUCCUCCUGCCCGCCUGGAGUUCGGAUCACCACCGGUCAUCAUCUCCUCUGUUUCCCUGGAGCUCUCCCGCGGACCCUCACCCCUCUCUCCGGUUCCCACGGCCCAGCCCUGAUCCCUCCCACGGUCCUGUUUACGGCGUUCCCGAGUUGCUUAUCUCCCGGUCCCUUUGUUUCCCAUUUACUCGGCGUGUUUUCCUUUGACCCUUCCGGGACACCCUCAGUUACAAAUAGAGUUUAUUUUGCGUGCACCUUGGCGUAUUGUCUCUGCUUCUGGGUCCAGCUCGUGUGCUGAACUACGGUUCUUGACAGUUGUUGCAAUAUAAACUCUCUUAAGUGUUCUUCACUCAUCUUUAAACCAAUCAAGUCUAGCAGACUAGGUUGCUAGAAUCUGGAGUCCCAUCAGCUCGCCUCCUGAUCUGGUGCUUGAUUUUAAAAUCCAGUCUUCACAGCUUUCAGUAAAGCCAGUAUAUUUACAUGCUGGGACCUUCUCUUCCGUCUCCCAGUCACUGUUGGAAAAUAAAUAAAUGUUGUCACUUUUACUAACUCUACAUGGACAUUGGAGAAGUUUUCUGCACCAAGAGAUAUUCUGUUUUCCUUCAGAUUAAACAUAUUUAUUUAUUUUUACUCAAGCAUUCACCCACUACUGCUUGUUUUUUAAUCAGCAGGAUUUAGCACCCCGUGGUGAUUAGUUUAAACUUUUGACACUUCUCAAACACAUUACAUGCUGUUUUAAGGAAUUACGCCAUUCCAGCCAGAAACCAUUUGAAAAUGUUCCUGCUCUUAUUUCUGGCACCGGGAUGCCCCCCCUUUUUUUUUUAAAUCUCCACACUCCCUUUUAAAAAUCUUCUGCGCUUCUCUCUCGUCAGCUUCACUAUUCGUUUUUUAUAUGUUGGCAAGUGAUGUUUACUCAUUACUAACUGAACUUCAUCAACUUUCUCAGUACAAGCUGCCAAAUGAACACGUUGCUUAUCUCAUUUCAUCAUCUGCCUACAUUGCUGUUCCCAGUAAUAGUUGCUACAUCAAUGAGGCACUGAGGACCAUUUCUCCUUACUGUCAGUGAUAAUACAGCUGUCACAGUUCUGGGUCAGUUUUGACCCAGUAUUUUGAGUUUCUCGUGUCUUGGUUUAAUU
Molecule: long non-coding RNA, 1318 nt
Organism: Oreochromis niloticus (Nile tilapia)
Lineage: Eukaryota; Metazoa; Chordata; Actinopteri; Cichliformes; Cichlidae
Exons: 3
Source: RefSeq, a predicted model, not a curated record